This 1574-nucleotide ribosomal RNA is filed under the name uncultured bacterium. Its description in RNAcentral is "bacterial SSU rRNA". It matches the Rfam family "Bacterial small subunit ribosomal RNA". The record is from RNAcentral.
AGAGUUUGAUCAUGGCUCAGAUUGAACGCUGGCGGCAUGCCUAACACAUGCAAGUCGAACGGCAGCAUGCUCUGUAGCAAUACAGAGUGAUGGCGAGUGGCGGACGGGUGAGUAACGCGUAGGAAUCUGCCCUAAAGCGGGGGAUAACUCAGCGAAAGUUGAGCUAAUACCGCAUAAUCUCUUCGGAGUAAAGCAGGGGAUCUUUUGACCUUGUGCUUUGGGAUGAGCCUGCGUAAGAUUAGCUAGUUGGUAGGGUAAAAGCCUACCAAGGCAACGAUCUUUAGCUGGUCUGAGAGGACGACCAGCCACAUUGGGACUGAGACACGGCCCAAACUCCUACGGGAGGCAGCAGUGGGGAAUAUUGGACAAUGGGGGAAACCCUGAUCCAGCGAUGCCGCGUGUGUGAAGAAGGCCUGCGGGUUGUAAAGCACUUUCGGUGGGGAGGAAAAGCUCAAGGCUAAUAUCUUUGAGAUUUGACGUUACCCGCAUAAGAAGCACCGGCUAACUCUGUGCCAGCAGCCGCGGUAAUACAGAGGGUGCAAGCGUUAAUCGAAGUUACUGGGCGUAAAGCGUGCGUAGGCGGAUAUUUAAGUCGGGUGUGAAAUCCCCGGGCUCAACCUGGGAACUGCACUCGAUACUGGAUGUCUAGAGUAUGGUAGAGGAAAGUGGAAUUUCCGGUGUAGCGGUGAAAUGCGUAGAUAUCGGAAAGAACAUCAGUGGCGAAGGCGGCUUUCUGGACCUAUACUGACGCUGAGGUACGAAAGCGUGGGGAGCAAACAGGAUUAGAUACCCCUGGUAGUCCACGCUGUAAACGAUGAAAACUAGAUGUUAGUCCAGCUAUUAAAUCAUAAUUAAUAAACUGAUAUGAUUUAGUAGCUGGAUUGGUAUCGAAGCUAACGCGUUAAGUUUUCCGCCUGGGGAGUACGGCCGCAAGGCUAAAACUCAAAGGAAUUGACGGGGGCUCGCACAAGCGGUGGAGCAUGUGGUUUAAUUCGAUGCUACCCGAAAAACCUUACCUACCCUUGACAUCCCUGGAAUCUUCUAGAAAUAGAGGAGUGCCUUCGGGAACCGGGUGACAGGUGCUGCAUGGCUGUCGUCAGCUCGUGUCGUGAGAUGUUGGGUUAAGUCCCGUAACGAGCGCAACCCUUGUCCUUAGUUGCCAACGAUUAAAGUCGGGAACUCUAAGGAGACUGCCGGUGAUAAACCGGAGGAAGGCGGGGACGACGUCAAGUCAUCAUGGCCCUUACGGGUAGGGCUACACACGUGCUACAAUGGGAAGUACAGAGGGUUGCCAAGUCGCAAGACGGAGCUAAUCCCAAAAAACUUUUCGUAGUCCAGAUUGGAGUCUGCAACUCGACUCCAUGAAGUUGGAAUCGCUAGUAAUCGCGAAUCAGCAUGUCGCGGUGAAUACGUUCUCGGGCCUUGUACACACCGCCCGUCACACCAUGGGAGUGAAUUGCACCAGAAGCGAGUGGGCUAACCGCAAGGAGGCCGCUCACCACGGUGUGUUUCAUGACUGGGGUGAAGUCGUAACAAGGUAGCCGUAGGGGAACCUGUGGCUGGAUCACCUCCUU